RNAcentral lists this ribosomal RNA (452 nucleotides) under marine sediment metagenome. RNAcentral's name for it is "SSU rRNA". It matches the Rfam family "Archaeal small subunit ribosomal RNA", at positions 997 to 1448 of the family's 1478-position model. The record is from RNAcentral.
GCCGUCGCCAGUUCGUGCUGUGAGGUAUCCUGUUAAGUCAGGCAACGAACGAGAUCCGCGCCUUUAUUUGCCAACAAGAAGUCACGACUUCGUUGGGAACACUAAAGGGACCGCCUUCGAUAAGACGGAGGAAGGAGCGGGCAAAGGCAGGUCAGUAUGCCCCGAAACCCCUGGGCUACACGCGGGCUGCAAUGAUAUGAACAAUGGGCAGUAACUCCGAAAGGAGAAACCAAUCCCGAAAUCAUAUCUCAGUGGGGAUUGUCGGCUGUAACCCGCUGACAUGAACGUGGAAUCCCUAGUAAUCGUGUGUCAUCAUCGCACGGUGAAUACGUCUCUGCUCCUUGCACACACCGCCCGUCGCUCCAUCCGAGUGUGCUAAAAAUGAGGUUUGGUCAAUCUGGUCAUAUCGAGUUUCUAGUAUGCGAGGAGGGAGAAGUCGUAACAAGGUAGCC